RNAcentral lists this ribosomal RNA (220 nucleotides) under uncultured bacterium. RNAcentral describes it as "partial 16S ribosomal RNA". It matches the Rfam family "Bacterial small subunit ribosomal RNA", at positions 111 to 334 of the family's 1533-position model. The record is from RNAcentral.
UAAUGUAUGGGGAUCUGCCCGAUAGAGGGGAAUAACUACUGGAAACGGUGGCUAAUACCGCAUAAUGUCUACGGACCAAAGCAGGGGCUCUUCGGACUUUGCACUAUCGGAUGAACCCAUAUGGGAUUAGCUAGUAGGUGGGGUAAAGGCUCACCUAGGCGACGAUCUCUAGCUGGUCUGAGAGGAUGAUCAGCCACACUGGGACUGAGACACGGCCCAG